GUGAAGAAAAGUGAAGGUUAGAGGGUGUUUGAGUCAAUUUCGGAUUUUGGAAAAGUGAUGAAAAAAAUGAGAUUUUUUUGAUUUUUUCUCUUCUCUCUGUUACCUCCAAAAUCGCCUCCUCUUGUUCUGAUUCGUUUGGAUCAAUUUAUAGGAUCAAUUGAUCAAUGCCUAUGACCAUUGGAUAAUUUUGAGUGUUGAUUAAAGUGUGCUUUGGCUGAAAAUUUGGUUUUGCAAAGAUAAAAGAAGAAAUGAAGUGAUUGGUCCUUCAUGCUUGCUUGUGAAUUUGGUGAAGAUUCAGCAUGGUUUUGAUGAAAAGUUGAAAAAGAGAGUAAGGCUAACAGCA
RNAcentral lists this long non-coding RNA (343 nucleotides) under Trifolium pratense (red clover). RNAcentral describes it as "long non-coding RNA (TPRA_LNC004606)". Lineage: Eukaryota; Viridiplantae; Streptophyta; Magnoliopsida; Fabales; Fabaceae. The record is from RNAcentral.